This 535-nucleotide ribosomal RNA is filed under the name Sungouiella intermedia. RNAcentral describes it as "[Candida] intermedia partial large subunit ribosomal RNA". It matches the Rfam family "Eukaryotic large subunit ribosomal RNA", at positions 62 to 667 of the family's 3401-position model. The record is from RNAcentral. Lineage: Eukaryota; Fungi; Ascomycota; Pichiomycetes; Serinales; Metschnikowiaceae.
AAACCAACAGGGAUUGCCUCAGUAACGGCGAGUGAAGCGGCAAAAGCUCAAAUUUGAAAUCCUUCGGGAGUUGUAAUUUGUAGGGGGAGACCCCGCGGCUAGUGCACCAAGUCCCUUGGAACAGGGCGCCUUAGAGGGUGAGAGCCCCGUAGGUACCACAACACCGUCUUGUGUCUCCUCUCCAAAGAGUCGAGUUGUUUGGGAAUGCAGCUCAAAGUGGGUGGUAAAUUCCAUCUAAAGCUAAAUACCGGCGAGAGACCGAUAGCGAACAAGUACAGUGAUGGAAAGAUGAAAAGCACUUUGAAAAGAGAGUGAAACAGUACGUGAAAUUGUUGAAAGGGAAGGGCUUGCAAGCAGACACGGCCUUCGUGCCGGGCCAGCAUCGGUUGCUAGGGGUGGAUAAGGAACAAGGAAUGUAGCUCCUCGGAGUAUUAUAGCCUUGCGCGAUACACCCACUGGCGACCGAGGCCUGCGGUAUUCUUUACCUAGGAUGCUGGCGUAAUGGUUGCAAGCCGCCCGUCUUGAAACACGGACC